Molecule: ribosomal RNA, 468 nt
Filed under: uncultured bacterium
Lineage: Bacteria
Description: partial 16S ribosomal RNA
Rfam family: Bacterial small subunit ribosomal RNA
Source: RNAcentral
GACGAACGCUGGCGGCGUGCUUAACACAUGCAAGUCGAACGGAAAGGCCCUGCUUUUGUGGGGUGCUCGAGUGGCGAACGGGUGAGUAACACGUGAGUAACCUGCCCCUGACUUUGGGAUAACUUCAGGAAACUGGGGCUAAUACCGGAUAGGAGCUCCUGCUGCAUGGUGGGGGUUGGAAAGUUUCGGCGGUUGGGGAUGGACUCGCGGCUUAUCAGCUUGUUGGUGGGGUAGUGGCUUACCAAGGCUUUGACGGGUAGCCGGCCUGAGAGGGUGACCGGCCACAUUGGGACUGAGAUACGGCCCAGACUCCUACGGGAGGCAGCAGUGGGGAAUAUUGCACAAUGGGCGGAAGCCUGAUGCAGCAACGCCGCGUGCGGGAUGACGGCCUUCGGGUUGUAAACCGCUUCCGCCUGUGACGAAGCGUGAGUGACGGUAAUGGGUAAAGAAGCACCGGCUAACUACGUG